RNAcentral lists this ribosomal RNA (222 nucleotides) under uncultured bacterium. RNAcentral's name for it is "partial 16S ribosomal RNA". It matches the Rfam family "Bacterial small subunit ribosomal RNA", at positions 109 to 334 of the family's 1533-position model. The record is from RNAcentral.
AGUAAUGUCUGGGAAACUGCCUGAUGGAGGGGGAUAACUACUGGAAACGGUAGCUAAUACCGCAUAACGUCGCAAGGCCAAAGUGGGGGACCUUCGGGCCUCAUGCCAUCAGAUGUGCCCAGAUGGGAUUAGCUAGUAGGUGGGGUAACGGCUCACCUAGGCGACGAUCCCUAGCUGGUCUGAGAGGAUGACCAGCCACACUGGAACUGAGACACGGUCCAG